Molecule: ribosomal RNA, 415 nt
Filed under: uncultured crenarchaeote
Lineage: Archaea; Thermoproteati; Thermoproteota
Description: partial 16S ribosomal RNA
Rfam family: Archaeal small subunit ribosomal RNA
Source: RNAcentral
GUGCAGCAGUUGCGAAAACUUGUCAAUGCACGAAAGUGUGAACGGGCUACCCCGGGUGCCGUCCGCUGAGGAUGGCUUUUCUCUGCUGUAAGAAGGCAGAGGAAUAAGGAGAGGGCAAGUCUGGUGUCAGCCGCCGCGGUAAUACCAGCUCUCCGAGUGGUAGGGAUGAUUAUUGGGCUUAAAGCGUCCGUAGCUGGCCUUUCAAGUCUCUCGUUAAAUCCAGCGAUUCAAUCGUUGGACUGCGGGAGAUACUGUUAGGCUAGGGGGCGGGAGAAGCCGACGGUAUUUCCGGGGUAGGGGUAAAAUCCUAUAAUCCUAGGAGGAACACCAGUGGCGAAGGCGGUCGACUAGAACGUGCCCGACGGUGAUGGACGAAAGCUGGGGGAGCGAACCGGAUUAGACACCCCCGUAGUCC